CGGGGGUCAGUUACGCGGGUGUCUGACCCGACUGCCGGGGAAAGCCCGGAGGAAGGAGGGGAUGACGUCAAGUCAGCAUGGCCCUGACGCCCUGGGCGACACACACGCUACAGUGACCGGGACAGUGGGCAGCGAAGGGGCGACCUGGAGCCAAUCCCGCAAACCCGGUCGUGGUGGGGAUCGCAGGCUGCAACCCGCCUGCGUGAACGCGGAGUUGCUAGUAACCGCCGGUCAGCCAUACGGCGGUGAA
This 250-nucleotide ribosomal RNA is filed under the name uncultured bacterium. Its description in RNAcentral is "partial 16S ribosomal RNA". It matches the Rfam family "Bacterial small subunit ribosomal RNA", at positions 1105 to 1366 of the family's 1533-position model. The record is from RNAcentral.